UUCUUUGGUUUAGAUGACGGCAAGGGCUAAGAAGGGAAUGCAGUGAGAGUCUGCAACACUACCCGGUGCUGUAAAUCCUUUUUCUGUUGCAACCGAGAGAGUCACUGGAACACGUGCCACAGUCAAUGUCGGCGAAAGCACGUUUUUCGGGAAGACCGAGUUGCAAAGGGAUAAAGUCAGAAGACCUGCCUCUUGUGAG
RNAcentral lists this non-coding RNA (199 nucleotides) under uncultured Prevotella sp. The record is from RNAcentral. Lineage: Bacteria; Pseudomonadati; Bacteroidota; Bacteroidia; Bacteroidales; Prevotellaceae.